This 28-nucleotide non-coding RNA is filed under the name Bombyx mori (domestic silkworm). Lineage: Eukaryota; Metazoa; Arthropoda; Insecta; Lepidoptera; Bombycidae. The record is from RNAcentral.
UAACAAGGAUAUAGUAAGUGCACUAGGC